UAGCAUAAUCAUUAGUUUUUUAAUUGAAGACUGGAAUGAAAGGUUUAAUAAAAAAUAUUCUUUAUUAUUUAUUUAUAAUUGAAUUUAAUUUUUUAGUAAAAAAACUAAAAUAUUAAAAAAAGACGAUAAGACCCUAUAAAGCUUAAUAAAAAUUAAUUAUAAAUAUUAGUUAGAAUAUUAAAAUUUUUAUUUUAUUAUUAUUUAAUUGGGGUGAUUUAAAGAUUUAAUAAACUCUUUAUUUUUUAAUUUAAAUAUUUUUAAUUUUUUUUGAUCCUAUUAUUUAGAUUAAAAAAUUUAGUUACUUUAGGGAUAACAGCGUAAUUUUUUUAAAGAGUUCAAAUCGAUAAAAAAGAUUGCGACCUCGAUGUUGAAUUAAAAUUUAAUUUUAGGUGCAGAAGUUUAAGAUUU
This 408-nucleotide ribosomal RNA is filed under the name Tanytarsus curticornis. RNAcentral's name for it is "partial 16S ribosomal RNA". Lineage: Eukaryota; Metazoa; Arthropoda; Insecta; Diptera; Chironomidae. The record is from RNAcentral.